CAGCCGCCGCGGUAAUACGAAUGGUGCAAGCGUUAAUCGGAAUUACUGGGCGUAAAGCGUGCGUAGGCGGUGAGUUAAGUCUGCUGUGAAAUCCCCGGGCUCAACCUGGGAAUGGCAGUGGAUACUGGCUCGCUAGAGUGUGUCAGAGGAUGGUGGAAUUCCCGGUGUAGCGGUGAAAUGCGUAGAGAUCGGGAGGAACAUCAGUGGCGAAGGCGGCCAUCUGGGACAACACUGACGCUGAGGCACGAAAGCGUGGGGAGCAAACAGGAUUAGAUACCCGCGUAGUCCCUGUCUCUUAUAC
Molecule: ribosomal RNA, 301 nt
Filed under: uncultured bacterium
Lineage: Bacteria
Description: partial 16S ribosomal RNA
Rfam family: Bacterial small subunit ribosomal RNA
Source: RNAcentral